Lolium perenne is the source of this 3481-nucleotide non-coding RNA. NCBI's taxonomy places the organism in Eukaryota, Viridiplantae, Streptophyta, Magnoliopsida, Poales, Poaceae. The record is from RefSeq and is a predicted model, not a curated record.
AUAUUAAGAGGACACACGCGCGGUCGUCGGAGCGAGCCGUGCCGCCGGCAGUUUGCGCCGCACGGCCUUCGGCGGCUCAAUUCCCUUCAGGAUCUAGCUAGUGUUUCCGCCAACUCGUGUCCAGUCCUCUACCGAGCAGCAGGCAGCACUCGUCGGAGCGGCUCGUUCUCGCCGGCGGCGAGGAUCGUCGUGCAAGAUGCGCAAGACGGUGGUGGUGCCGGUGGGACGACUCAUCCACAGCAAGAUGUACAUCGCCCCUCCGAGUUCAUGGCGCACGAUGAGGCAGGCCGACGACGACAACUCUGGAAAAGUGGAUCCAGCUCGUUAGAAUUCUCCCUCGAUCCCCUCCCCCAAAUGAGUUCUCACGCUGCCUUCGACUGAAUCCAACUCAUUAGAAUUUAGCUCAGAUUUAGUGGUUGGUUAUAUUAAAUGGUUUAGAAAUUUGUUAUCAUGAUCUUUGUUGGAUCUGUCCGUAGAAAAAAAAAUAUGGGAGGAGAUUUAGGGUUAGUGUCUACUCUAUUCGUAAUUUGUUAUAAAAUCCUGCCAUACAUGAAUAUAUAUGAGAGCUGAUUUAAUCAUUCUUAGCGUAAUUACGAUUGUAACAUCUCGGGGUACAUGCAAUGUUCUGUAGGCUGGUCAUCCAUCUGGUCGUAAAAACUGCAGAAAAUUAGGCGUUCAUGUUCUACUCUGUAGUAACUAGUAGUAUGUACUCAUAGUCUUCUUUGUUAGAGUUUGGAGAAGGAACCAUAUGCUUACCGUGGGUCACACACACACACACUCUCACACUCCAUCCUUUAAAACCUCUGACUGCAUGAUUGCUUCUCAAUAAGUUUGAGAAUGGUGCCUAUUUUGCCAAGUAUAAUAGUUGUUAGACUUUCUUGAUUUACUCACUUCAUAUUCACGGAUUCGACAACUCAUUGUCGAGAACUCGAAAUGUAACUAUACCACCACUAGAGUACUAGGCAGUUGGCGGCCUUCUUUUUUAUGUUUUCUGUAACCGUGGAGGUAAACUUAUCUUGUGUCGUCAUUCAAUUCAUUCUUAUCGGAUAGUUAGGAAAAUCAUUUUCCACUUUCUCACCUAGCUCGGAAAUCUUGAGGUCCAUUACUCCAAGGCACGUGGAAGAUUUAUUAAGAGCACAUUGUUUACUUGUUACGCCAAUAUGUUGCCAUCAAAUGCAUUAUCUUUGUCAUGUCGCAUGAUGGCGGUACUGUUUUAUCUUUCUAUACUUCAACCGAUGAUAUUAUUAGCUGAGACUAAGGCUAGAUAUGAUGUUCAUUUCUGUUUGUCUUCAACUCUGAAUAAGAUGAUGCAGGUAUAUUUUUGUUAGGCUUGUAAGCUGUUUUUUCAGUAAGCUAAAUGGUUGAAACACAAUAUAGGCUUUACAAUUUGUUGACUAGAAACAAUUUUGCCACUUGAGCACUUGUACAACUGACGGUCUAUGUUGCAGUAAGUACAAUGUUUCUUCUCCCUCAUAAUAUUUAGGAUUUUUUUUGCACACAAACUUUUAUAAAUGUGGAGAAAAUCUGAUAAUGUUAGCUUCUGAUCUGUUCAAUUACUCUCUCCAUCCGGAAAUAAGUGACUCAAUUUUUCUAGAUACGGACGUUCCUAGUUGCAUUUCAGUUUGUAGAUAUAUCUAUAUCUAGAUAAAGUUAAGUCACUUAUUUCCAAUGGAGGUUGUGUUUCUGUUUUGUACUAGUGCGAAUAAAAAUGUAAAUUGGAGACAGAGACACAUAUAUCAACCUGAAUUGUAUGGAAUAAGAAAAGCAUUCACAUAGCAGCCUCUGUUUUGCAAUCCUGUUUCAACCGGGCAGUCUGCCUUGGUCAGAUCUGACUUGCUCACAGAAAGACCCCCGUCGGUGGUGACGCUAGUCACCCGCUCGCCGCCUGCAUUGGGCCAUCUGAUGUGCCCACGCCUCCACAUAUGCAGCACACAGUUUGAAGCCCAGGAUCGUUGUAAGGAGACACAAACUUGCUAAUGGAUCAAGCAAGCAUUACGCUCGUGAAGAUGGACAUGACUGCAUCCAAGCAGGACUGACUAGAUAAUAACUGUUUUAUAAGCUGAAAUUGCAUACGUGCAGUUAUGUGUACUUUAUGGUUGAGAACUUAUAUUGAAAACCUCAUUUGUUGUUUCCUCAAAUAGAUUAAUGAGUUCGCCUAGUUCUGCCGUGUGAGCUUUUUUUGUUUCCUUUUUUGUUUUUCUUUCAUCGGUUAUUUGGUUUGUUUUUACUACCAGCUUUGAGCUUCACUGAAGUCUAGCAAAGACAUACAAACAGCAGAGGUUGGUAAACAUGGUGCACUUUCCUGAUAAAAGGUUGUUUUGCUAUCCCCUUUCCUGUUUGCAUGAAUGUAUGGAGGUUUGAAUAGCUACAACUAGAACAGUGGGUAUGUUGUCAUCUACAAUUAGAAAAGAAAUUUAAAUUAUUGAUCUUGCUAAGUUGUCCACAUAAUCUAUUAUGCCUUUUCCAUAUCAUUUAGAAUCUUGUUAAAAGUCAGGAAACGAGGACAUACAAAACAGUUAUUUUCUGCAUUAUCUCAUUCUCUCGGCCAUCUUAUAAUUUGUUAUGGCUUUUGCUGAUACUUUAUGUGACCAAUUAGACAGAUGUCGAAUAUAAGAUCUUCAUUAUUUAGAACUUAGGACAUUGAUCUGAGAUGUAGUUUCUAUUUUAGUUUCUUAUUUGCCCUCGGUUCUAAGGCUGGAGCUCCUCGUAUUCAUGGGUAUGGAGUCCCUUCGCUGGCCACCUCCUCAACCGGUGAUAGUGCUCAUCUUUGAAACCGAGAAAAAAGAAAAGUAAAAGUGACCCUGUGACCCAUUUGUAAUCGAUAUAAUCCGUGUAGUGUGAUGCUGCCAUCUCUGUUCCCCAUCCACCGCUCACGUCCUCUUUGGUCUAUUGAUUUCAUUUGUUCUGUGGUGAUUGGUGACUGAUAUGGGGUGUAUCCACAUGCAGGUGGAGGUUCCCAUGGAGAUGGCGGAGGAAGAGAAGUCAGCAGGACUAACUUUAAGCAUCACAACAGAUCCAAUUCUAUUCCUUAUAGGAUCCUGGCAUAUAAUUGACAGUAUCUCGAGUUUUCGCUUUAAAUUACGUAGCCUGCAACUUGUACGAUUCUCAGUGGUCUGUAGGAGGUCAAGCUUUCUCGGAGUGAUUUAUUCCAAACUGUCAUAAAAAAAAGUGUAUACCAAAACAAAAAAAGUGCAUCUGCACAGUGACGGUGUGCACCUGUGGGGUUGUGACACAUGUCAAGUUUAUGGCCUCGGUAAUCUCCCUCUAAGCUUAUGGAGGAAGAGAAGACAGCAGGACUAACUUUAAGCAUCACAACAGAUCCAAUUCCAUUCUUUAUAGGAUCCUGCCAAAGAAUUGACAGUAUCUCAAGUUUUCGCUUUAAAGUAUGAUAUUUACCUUGGGUAGUCUUUGAAACAUGGUGAUCUAGAUUCUAGAAUUUAAUGUACAGUUAUUUAGUUGUGGUCUUGCUUAUAUCAUUUUC